This 793-nucleotide ribosomal RNA is filed under the name Pseudomonas gessardii. RNAcentral describes it as "partial 23S ribosomal RNA". It matches the Rfam family "Bacterial large subunit ribosomal RNA", at positions 1132 to 1926 of the family's 2925-position model. The record is from RNAcentral. Lineage: Bacteria; Pseudomonadati; Pseudomonadota; Gammaproteobacteria; Pseudomonadales; Pseudomonadaceae.
GCGUACUAGCGCACUGGUCGAGUGACUCUGCGCCGAAAAUGUACCGGGGCUAAACGUACCACCGAAGCUGUGGGACGACUUACGUCGGCGGUAGGGGAGCGUUCUAAGGGCGUCGAAGCUAGACCGGAAGGACUAGUGGAGCGCUUAGAAGUGAGAAUGCCGGUGUGAGUAGCGAAAACAGAGGUGAGAAUCCUCUGCACCGAAAGCCUAAGGUUUCCUGAGGAAGGCUCGUCCGCUCAGGGUUAGUCGGGACCUAAGCCGAGGCCGAAAGGCGUAGGCGAUGGACAACAGGUUGAUAUUCCUGUACCACCUCCUCACCGUUUGAGCAAUGGGGGGGACGCAGGAGGAUAGGGUCAGCGCGCGACUGGUUGUGCGCGUCCAAGCAGUUAGGUGCCUCAAGUAGGCAAAUCCGCUUGAGUAGGCUGAGCUGUGAUGGCGAGGGAAAUAAAGUACCGAAGUGCCUGAUUCCACACUGCCAAGAAAAGCCUCUAGCGAGGUGAGAGGUGCCCGUACCGCAAACCGACACAGGUAGGCGAGGAGAGAAUCCUAAGGUGCGCGGGAGAACUCUCGUUAAGGAACUCGGCAAAAUGACCCCGUAACUUCGGGAGAAGGGGUGCUCUGUUAGGGUGCAAGCCCGAGAGAGCCGCAGUGAAUAGGCCCAGGCGACUGUUUAGCAAAAACACAGGUCUCUGCGAAGCCGUAAGGCGAAGUAUAGGGGCUGACGCCUGCCCGGUGCUGGAAGGUUAAGAGGAGCGCUUAGCGUAAGCGAAGGUGCGAAUUGAAGCCCCAGUAA